RNAcentral lists this ribosomal RNA (320 nucleotides) under uncultured Bacteroidales bacterium. RNAcentral's name for it is "bacterial SSU rRNA". It matches the Rfam family "Bacterial small subunit ribosomal RNA", at positions 28 to 339 of the family's 1533-position model. The record is from RNAcentral. Lineage: Bacteria; Pseudomonadati; Bacteroidota; Bacteroidia; Bacteroidales.
GAUGAACGCUAGCUACAGGCUUAACACAUGCAAGUCGAGGGGCAGCAUGUAUCUGGCUUGCCAGAUAUGAUGGCGACCGGCGCACGGGUGCGUAACGCGUGUUCGACCUACCCUUUACUCGGGAACAGCCCAUCGAAAGAUGGAUUAAUGCCCGAUGUUCUCCCUAUAUCGCAUGGUAUUUGGAGCAAAGAUUUAUCGGUAGAGGAUGGGAACGCGUCCGAUUAGCUGGACGGCGGGGUAACGGCCCACCGUGGCGACGAUCGGUAGGGGUUCUGAGAGGAAGGUCCCCCACACUGGAACUGAGACACGGUCCAGACUCC